This 440-nucleotide ribosomal RNA is filed under the name uncultured bacterium. RNAcentral's name for it is "partial 16S ribosomal RNA". It matches the Rfam family "Bacterial small subunit ribosomal RNA", at positions 338 to 795 of the family's 1533-position model. The record is from RNAcentral.
ACUACGGGUGGCUGCAGUGGGGAAUAUUGCACAAUGGGGGAAACCCUGAUGCAGCGACGCCGCGUGAGUGAAGAAGUAUUUCGGUAUGUAAAGCUCUAUCAGCAGGGAAGAAAAUGACGGUACCUGAUUAAGAAGCCCCGGCUAACUACGUGCCAGCAGCCGCGGUAAUACGUAGGGGGCAAGCGUUAUCCGGAUUUACUGGGUGUAAAGGGAGCGUAGACGGCAGCACAAGUCUGGAGUGAAAGGGCGGGGCUUAACCCCGGAACUGCUGUGGAAACUGUGCAGCUAGAGUGCAGGAGAGGUAAGUGGAAUUCCUAGUGUAGCGGUGAAAUGCGUAGAUAUUAGGAGGAACACCAGUGGCGAAGGCGGCUUACUGGACUGUAACUGACGUUGAGGCUCGAAAGCGUGGGGAGCAAACAGGAUUAGAUACCCUGGUAGUC